Molecule: transfer RNA, 61 nt
Filed under: Jesogammarus hinumensis
Lineage: Eukaryota; Metazoa; Arthropoda; Malacostraca; Amphipoda; Anisogammaridae
Description: tRNA-Pro
Source: RNAcentral
UAGAAUGUAGUUUUAAAAAUAGCAGAUUUGGGGUUUGCAGUUAGACUUUGUCUCUUUCUAG